RNAcentral lists this ribosomal RNA (250 nucleotides) under uncultured prokaryote. Its description in RNAcentral is "partial 16S ribosomal RNA". It matches the Rfam family "Bacterial small subunit ribosomal RNA", at positions 524 to 773 of the family's 1533-position model. The record is from RNAcentral.
UACGGAGGAUGCAAGCGUUAUCCGGAUUUAUUGGGUUUAAAGGGUGCGUAGGCGGCCUGUUAAGCGUGAGGUGAAAUCCCGGAGCUCAACCCCGGAAUUGCCUCGCGAACUGGCGGGCUUGAAUGCUCCUGCCGUGGGAGGAAUGUGUGGUGUAGCGGUGAAAUGCAUAGAGAUCACACAGAACACCGAUUGCGAAGGCAUCUCACGAAGGGGCGAUUGACGCUGAGGCACGAAAGCGUGGGGAUCAAAC